AGUCUAGAGAAUCGUUUUCCGCGUUGGCCUGUGUACAAGUCCCUUGGAACAGGGCGUCAUAGAGGGUGAGAAUCCCGUCCUUGACACAGACUACCAAUGCUUUGUGAUGCGAUCUCGAAGAGUCGAGUUGUUUGGGAAUGCAGCUCAAAAUGGGUGGUAAAUUCCAUCUAAAGCUAAAUAUUGGCGAGAGACCGAUAGCGAACAAGUACCGUGAGGGAAAGAUGAAAAGCACUUUGGAAAGAGAGUUAAACAGUACGUGAAAUUGUUAAAAGGGAAACGAUUGAAGUCAGUCAUGCUCUCCGAGACUCAGCCGAUUCUGUCGGUGUACUUCUCGGUUGGCAGGCCAGCAUCAGUUUUGAUCUGUGGAAAAGGUUGGAAAGAAUGUGGCAUCCUCGGAUGUGUUAUAGCUCUUCUUCGAAUACAUAGAGCGGGACUGAGGAACGCAGCGUGCCUUUUAUUAGGUUGGCCUUCGGGUACAUACACGCUU
This 487-nucleotide ribosomal RNA is filed under the name Mrakia aquatica. Its description in RNAcentral is "eukaryotic LSU rRNA". It matches the Rfam family "Eukaryotic large subunit ribosomal RNA", at positions 147 to 618 of the family's 3401-position model. Lineage: Eukaryota; Fungi; Basidiomycota; Tremellomycetes; Cystofilobasidiales; Mrakiaceae. The record is from RNAcentral.